GCAACCAUUUCCGCCGCCAGUGGCAAAGUAAUGCUGUUCGCGUCUCGAAAGGAGAAGGUCGUGGAAAAAGACCUCCGCGUGUGUCGCACGAUUUUGGACCGCACGUGCGGAUUCCUCGCGGGAGAUUGUUGGGCCUUCGUUCGGCGGCUGAAACCGCGCAAUCGUCGUGAGUUGCGCAUCGGUGGGAGCUCGGCGGCCACUCGAACUGGACGGUUUUGUCCCUGAAGACGCCGCAAAGUAAGCCACGUUUUGACGAUCAGACUCGCCCGGAGAAUAAGUCAUCGGUCAAAGCGCGCCAACUCCGAACCAAUCUCUGCAAUCCACCCGAAGGGAGGUCCCGCCGGAAGAGGAAUCAAGCAGUGGUCGCUGUGCCAAUCUCGCUGUGGGAAUCUGUGUCGCGCAAGACCCAUCUCCGAAGAACGCCGCCAAAAGCAAGACCUGAAAACAUCCACACGGUGGCAGCCAGUCCGUGUGCAACAAAAGGAGGAAGCGCAACACGAACACGCACACACCAUCAACCAGAACGCAAAAGGCCCCGGAAAAGGGGCCUUUUCUGUGGGCGCUCGACGUCGGCUGCUGGAGGCUGGUGCACGAUUGCUGGCGCGCGACGGAACAUCCCGUCGGUAGGCGGACGGUGCGGUACGAGUCGCCGUUCCAACACGGCGUACGUGCGUCAUUGAGGGCGCUGGGCGAGACAACGCUAGGCGUUGUUCGCGAGGGCGCAGAUGAGGAGCAGCCUGCCAAGCUGUGGUCGCACGUGGGCAUGCUGUAACGUGUGGCGGUCAAGGGUGAACUCUCGAGCCGGCGGGCACGCCAACGGCGGAAUGCGGGUUGCGGCAAGAGUGAGUGCUAGAAAUUAAGCGGGUGCGCACCCAGAAGAAUAAGAGCCCAAAGGGCGAGAAGAAGAAGCACACGCGCGCGAAGCGCCAUCUUUGCGCAUGUUUCGCUAGGCUUAGGCACACACACACACACACGCACAUUUGUACC
This is a long non-coding RNA of Culex quinquefasciatus (southern house mosquito), 987 nucleotides long. RefSeq lists it as uncharacterized. The transcript is spliced from 5 exons. The record is from RefSeq and is a predicted model, not a curated record. Lineage: Eukaryota; Metazoa; Arthropoda; Insecta; Diptera; Culicidae.